Arachis ipaensis is the source of this 669-nucleotide non-coding RNA. The record is from RefSeq and is a predicted model, not a curated record. Lineage: Eukaryota; Viridiplantae; Streptophyta; Magnoliopsida; Fabales; Fabaceae.
CCCUCCAAACAAACCCUAAAGCUAUCACCCGUUGCUGUGUGAGAGAGAAGAUCUCGUCAAAUCCAAAAUGAUUAUCAAGCUUCAACCCUAAAGCUCACAGCCAUCGCCGCCUCCAUCGCCACCGCCAACACCACCACUAUAUCCAUUCGUGUCCUUGCCGCCACCGCAUGCUUCGAUAAUCUCUUUUUCCGUUGUCUCCUCUGUCGAUGCAUCGCCUCCUUUGGUCGCGACACGAUAUUUAGUUUGAUUGUGUUAGAUGGAAGAGCCUGUCGUAGUUAACAAAGGCAAGGAGCCGCUGGAUUUGCCACCAGGUUUCGGACUCCACCCAACAGAUGAAGAAAUCAUCACUUAUUACCUCACCGAGAAGGUCAUGAACAGCAACUUCAGUGCAACUGCCAUAGGUGAAGCCGAUUUGAACAAAUCCGGACCUUGGGAUUUACCAAGUAAGAAGUAGUAAUAUUAUGUCCGUACAUGAGCAGUUAGUUAGUUAUGACUUAUGAGUUAUGACUGGUUAUUUUGAUUAUUAUUUGGUGUGCAGAAAAAGCAAAGAUGGGAGAGAAGGAGUGGUACUUCUUUUGUCAGAAAGGUGACAUCACAGAUUGAAAAACAAGCUGUGAAGUAAUGCAGAAAAUUAAGAACAAAGUUGGUUACUUGUUUAGAGAAAAAAAA